AUGGGAGUGGAGGAGCAGGGGAAGAAGAAUGGCGGCGAUGGGGGUGGGAGGACGAACAAGUACGCUGUCGCCUGCUCCGUCAUCGGCUCCAUCAUCUCCAUCCUCAUGGGCUACGACACCGGCGUGAUGAGCGGCGCGAUGCUGUUCAUCAAGGAGGACCUCGGGACCAACGACACGCAGGUGCAGGCCCUCGCCGGCAUCCUCAACGUCUGCGCGCUCGCCGGCUCCCUCACCGCCGGCCGCGUCUCCGACUGGGUGGGGCGCCGCCGCACCAUCUCGCUCGCAGCCUGCAUCUUCCUCGCGGGCUCCGUCCUCAUGGGCCUCUCGCCCAACUUCGCCACGCUCCUGGCCGGCCGCUGCGUCGCCGGCGUCGGCGUCGGCUACGCGCUCAUGAUCGCGCCCGUCUACGCCGCCGAGAUCGCGUCCGCGGACAUCCGCGGCUCGCUCACCUCGCUCCCCGAGAUCUGCAUCAGCUUCGGCAUCCUCAUUGGCUACGUGUCCAACUACUUCCUCGCCAAGCUGCCGCUGGUCUACGGCUGGCGCACCAUGCUGGGGCUCGGCGCGCUCCCCAGCGCCGUGCUCGCCCUCGGCGUCCUGGCCAUGCCGGAGUCGCCCCGGUGGCUCGUCAUGCAGGCCCGCCCGGACGAGGCGCUCGCGGUCCUCCGGAAGGUCUGCAACACGGCGGGAGAGGCCGACGUGCGGCUCGCGGACAUCAAGAGCGCGGCCGGGUUCGUCGAGGGAGACGACGCGUCCGCGCCCGCGACCGGCAGCGGCGGCAAAGGCGUGUUGAAGGAGAUGUUCAUACACCCGACGCCGACCGUCCGUCGCGUCCUCGUGGCCGGCCUGGGCAUCCACUUCUUCCAGCACCUGAGCGGGAUCGAGGCCGUGGUCCUCUACAGCCCGCGGAUCUUCAAGGCGGCCGGCAUCGCCACCCGCAACAAGAUCCUCGCGGCAACCAUUGGGGUGGGCGUGACGAAGACGGUGUUCAUCAUGACGGCGAUCCUGCUCGUCGACCGCGUCGGCCGGCGGCCACUCUACCUGUCCAGCCUGGCCGGCAUCGUCGCCUCGCUAACCUGCCUCGGCCUAGGCCUCACCGUCAUCGAGCACUCGCCUCACGGCCACGGCGCGCCCUGGGCGGUCGUGCUGGCCAUCACCACGGUGUUCACCUUCGUCGCCUCCUUCUCCGUCGGCGUGGGGCCCAUCACUUGGGCCUACAGCUCAGAGGUCUGGCCGCUCCGGCUGCGCGCGCAGGGCGCCAGCAUCGGCGUGGCCAUCAACCGCAUAAUGAACGCCGGCGUGUCCAUGACCUUCGUCACCCUGUACAAGGCGAUCACCAUCGGCGGCGCCUUCUUCCUCUUCGCGGGGUUGGCGGUGGUGGCUGCCACGUUCUUCUACUUCUGUUGCCCGGAGACGCAGGGGAGGCCCCUGGAGGAGAUCGAGGAGGUGUUCAGCCAGGGUUGGCACGCCCGGCGGAGGCAGCAGCCGUCGUCGUCGCCGGUGGCCGACAGCAAGGCAUAG
This 1518-nucleotide ribosomal RNA is filed under the name Triticum aestivum (bread wheat). Its description in RNAcentral is "partial small subunit ribosomal RNA". Lineage: Eukaryota; Viridiplantae; Streptophyta; Magnoliopsida; Poales; Poaceae. The record is from RNAcentral.